GAAAGUAAAAGUCGUAACAAGGUUUCCGUAGGUGAACCUGCGGAAGGAUCAUUAUUGUAUAACCGAGGUGCGAGGGCUGUCGCUGACCCGAAAGGUCGUGCACGCCCGAGUGCCCUCACACACAUCCAUCUCACCCCUAUGUGCACCACCGCGUGGGUCCCCCUUUGGCUUGUUCGGAGGGGGGCUUACGUUUUCACACAAACUUUGUAUGCAGUAGAACGUAUUUUUUGUUUUUGCGAUCACGCAAUCAAUACAACUUUCAACAACGGAUCUCUUGGCUCUC
Molecule: unclassified non-coding RNA, 283 nt
Filed under: plant metagenome
Description: partial contains small subunit ribosomal RNA, internal transcribed spacer 1, and 5.8S ribosomal RNA
Rfam family: Eukaryotic small subunit ribosomal RNA (bases 1-54)
Source: RNAcentral